GUGAAAGUUAGUGAAUCUACACUGUUAUUGAUAUAUGCAACUGUAACUAUAAUGUUUAACUAGUUGCUUUAGUUUAUUAUUUCCUCAUGAAUUCAUCUCUUCAUACUUUAGACUGAACUAGUUUCAUCUUCCAUAUAAUGUUGUGUGUGCAGGUACAUCCUCCUCAGACACUGUGUGCUCUGACUGCAGUGAUGGAACAUUUUCAGAUGGAACAUUAACAUCUUGUCACCAACACACACAAUGUGAAUCAAAGAACCUUCAGCUGAAAACAGCAGGAACUAAGUCAACUGAUUCUGUUUGUGGGGAACAAACUUCAAAUGUUGUAGUAAUGGAAGGCAAACAAACUUCAAAUGUUGGAGUUAUUGCGGGCAAAAUAACUUCAAAUCAUGUAGUAAUGGAAGGCAUACAAAUUUCAAAUGUUAAAGUAACUGUGGGCAAACAACCUUCAAAUGUUGGAGUUAUUGCGGGCAAACUAACUUCAAAUCAUGUAGUAAUGAAACGCAUAGGAAUUUCAGAUGUUGGAGUUACUGUGGGCACAGACAAAAACAAUCAUGCAGACAACUCCAUAGAGACACCUCUACGUACACGACAAUCAGUGGAAAAAUUGAUGUCAUUGUCAGAGCAGGAGGAGGGCUAACCUGUGUAACCAGUCUAAACUCUCAGAUGAAAUCUGUUCUCUGUGGACUACAUUUGCUCCAGAAUCCAGUUAUUAUUCAUUUGGAUGCUGUCUUCACAGAGAACAGAAAAGACAAAUCAAUAAGAACAAUUUCUGGCUCAGAACAGCCUGCUGACAGUGACAUAUACUGUAGACGUUUUGGAAGUUUUGCAUGUGUUAUGUAUGAAUGGUGACUGAUGCCAUAUUAAUAGAUGAACUGUACUGAUGCCUUUGCACACCACAUAUGCUUGUUUUAAUUGCUGCUCUCUUGACAGACUUAAUAGACAGUGUGUGGCUGUCCUGGUUCUACCCGUAUCCCUUAGCAAAGUUAAGCUUUAACAUGAGUUUUAUCACUAAAUUAUUAAUAGUUUUAAAAAUAAUAAUAAUAAUACAUGAAAUAUAUAUUUGCACAUAUUUAAAACUAUAAAAUGUAAAUGUAAACAUCUAAUCUUGUGCAAGUGUUAACAUCUUCUGUCUGUCCAGAGAGCUCAGAGUACAUGGGCUGAAAAGUGUACAGAUGUUAUAGCUAGCAACGUUUUUAAUCACAUUAAUGAAUAUAAAGUAAAACUCUAGAAGUCAAGCAAAGUGAAUUAAAGCACUGUCUCUAAAACUCCAACUCCAAUCACAUCACUGUAUCCUCCAGUACUGGGCUUUUAACUGGUCUCAAGAUUAGAACAAAAACCCACGGUGAGCUCUCAUUUUAUUAAGGCCCAGGCCUGUUUGUGUUGCAUUUCUUUAUGUAUGAAAAGUGCUAGAUAAAUAAAGUUUGAUUUGAUUUGAUAUUGUUCAAAAAUACUGUAUCAUGACAUCAUUUUCUCCAAAGAUCCGUAUACAGGGUGUGCAGGUGCAGCGGUUUUUAUCCCAGAUAAAUAAAUAUACAUGAAGACAAAGGUUUCUGAUCAUUUGUCUUUUUAUUCCACACAGAACUGAUAAUAUUAGGAUUGGAGUGGAUGGUGGGAGUGAGAUAACAAACACCAGUUUCUUGGAGCUUGCCAGCAGAACAGAUCUGAUGAAUUAAGUAUUUCACACGUUAUAUAGCAUGGGAGGAAAGAGACCAUCUACUAGCUUCCUCUGGGUCCCUCCUUAUGUCGGCGUAGAGGGGAAUGAGCAGGUAGACAUCUUGGCUCAACAAGCAGUGAGAACUUCAAGUUCCAAAAAGUAAAAAUGAGGCUAAACCACAUUCAGUCCAGCAAGAGCACCGAGACAAUAAACAGCCCAGACACUCUCUCCUCAGACUCCGAGGACAAAACUCAGAGACUGAGGAGGAGUUUUCAUGUCCAUGUCGGCCGUCUGCUCAACUCUGAGCCUCAACUGGACUUUUAAGCUUCUCCUGUAAAGUCAGCGGACCAAACAAAACAGGGCACGAGGAAUAACUUUUCAUAAGGAAGAUUGAACAUCUCUAUUGGUUGUUUGAUUCAGUAGUUACUGUCCUGUAAUAAUCUGUAAUAAUCUGUUUUAGCUAAUUAGAGCUAACUCGUGUUUAGAAGUUUAAUCUAUGAAACUUUAUAAAUCAUGUAUUCAUAACACAGAUGUAGGUUACAGCUGACAUCAUGAAAUAAGCCUGAGUGUGACUGGUUUGACACUGACACUGAAAGGGAGUUUCUCCUCCAGGCUGCUCUGGAGGUUUCAGGACGGUUUUUGUGAAGUGUC
Molecule: long non-coding RNA, 2305 nt
Organism: Mugil cephalus (flathead mullet)
Lineage: Eukaryota; Metazoa; Chordata; Actinopteri; Mugiliformes; Mugilidae
Exons: 4
Source: RefSeq, a predicted model, not a curated record